GAUUAACGCUGGCGGCGUGCAUAACACAUGCAAGUCGAACGAUGAAACUCAUUAGAUUUCUUCGGAAUGAAAAUGAAUGGAUUAGUGGCGAACGGGUGAGUAACGCGUGAGUAACCUGCCUUACACAAGGAGAUAGCCUCUGGAAACGGAGAAUAAUACCCUAUGAAACCAGACAAUCGCAUGAUAAUCUGGUCAAAAUGUUUAGUGGUGUAAGAUGGACUUGCGUCUGAUUAGCUAGUUGGUGAGAUAAAAGCUCACCAAGGCAACGAUCAGUAGCCGGCUUGAGAGAGUGUACGGCCACAUUGGGACUGAGACACGGCCCAGACUCCUACGGGAGGCAGCAGUGGGGAAUUUUGCACAAUGGGGGAAACCCUGAUGCAGCGACGCCGCGUGAUUUAGAAGGCCUUCGGGUUGUAAAAAUCUUUUGUAUAGGAAGAAAAUGACAGUACUAUACGAAUAAGGUCCGGCUAAUUACGUG
This 478-nucleotide ribosomal RNA is filed under the name uncultured bacterium. Its description in RNAcentral is "partial 16S ribosomal RNA". It matches the Rfam family "Bacterial small subunit ribosomal RNA", at positions 28 to 507 of the family's 1533-position model. The record is from RNAcentral.